CGCACAUUGCGCCCCUUGGUAUUCCGAGGGGCAUGCCUGUUCGAGCGUCAUUUAACCUCUCAAGCUCUGCUUGGUGUUGGGUGCUGGCCCACCAGGGCCCGCCCGUAACUCGUUGGCGGUUGUCACCGGCUGAAAGCGUAGCAAAAUAUGCUGGAGCCCGGAGGCGGCCUGUCAGGUACCCACAAUCAAAAGUUUGACCUCGGAUCAGGUAGGGAUACCCGCUGAACUUAA
This 231-nucleotide unclassified non-coding RNA is filed under the name Ascomycota sp. Its description in RNAcentral is "partial contains 5.8S ribosomal RNA, internal transcribed spacer 2, and large subunit ribosomal RNA". The record is from RNAcentral. Lineage: Eukaryota; Fungi; Ascomycota.